UAGCGGCGAGUGAAGCGGCAAAAGCUCAAAUUUGAAAUCUGGCACCUUCGGUGUCCGAGUUGUAAUUUGAAGAUUGUAACCUUGGGGUUGGCUCUUGUCUAUGUUUCUUGGAACAGGACGUCACAGAGGGUGAGAAUCCCGUGCGAUGAGAUGCCCAAUCCUAUGUAAGGUGCUUUCGAAGAGUCGAGUUGUUUGGGAAUGCAGCUCUAAGUGGGUGGUAAAUUCCAUCUAAAGCUAAAUAUUGGCGAGAGACCGAUAGCGAACAAGUACAGUGAUGGAAAGAUGAAAAGAACUUUGAAAAGAGAGUGAAAAAGUACGUGAAAUUGUUGAAAGGGAAGGGUUUGAGAUCAGACUCGAUAUUUUGUGAGCCUUGCCUUCGUGGCGGGGUGACCCGCAGCUUAUCGGGCCAGCAUCGGUUUGGGCGGUAGGAUAAUGGCGUAGGAAUGUGACUUUGCUUCGGUGAAGUGUUAUAGCCUGCGUUGAUGCUGCCUGCCUAGACCGAGGACUGCGAUUUUAUCAAGGAUGCUGGCAUAAUGAUCCCAAACCGCCCGUCUUGAACCACGGGACCAUU
Molecule: ribosomal RNA, 571 nt
Filed under: Meyerozyma caribbica
Lineage: Eukaryota; Fungi; Ascomycota; Pichiomycetes; Serinales; Debaryomycetaceae
Description: LSU rRNA
Rfam family: Eukaryotic large subunit ribosomal RNA
Source: RNAcentral